This 1609-nucleotide ribosomal RNA is filed under the name metagenome. Its description in RNAcentral is "bacterial LSU rRNA". It matches the Rfam family "Bacterial large subunit ribosomal RNA", at positions 1214 to 2925 of the family's 2925-position model. The record is from RNAcentral.
GCUGCAAUGCAUCGGUAGGGGAGCAUUCUGUAGAGCGUCGAAGGUGCAUCGUGAGGUGUGCUGGAGCAUACAGAAGAGCAAAUGUUGGUAUAAGUAACGAUAACGGAAGUGAGAAUCUUCCGCGCCGAAAGUCUAAGGUUUCCUUGAGCUCUGUUCGUCAUCUCAGGGUUAGUCGGCCCCUAAGGCGAGACCGAAAGGUGUAGUCGAUGGGAAUCAGGCAACUAAUAAUAUUCCUGAACCACCGAAAACUUUAAACACAGGGACGCAGGAGCACAGGUUAUAAGAGUUAAUGGCUAUCUCUUAUAGCUGUAGCACACUGCCGAGAAAAGCUGUGUGUAUAGUUUAGGUGACCGUACCGGAAACCGACACAGGUAGACAGGUUGAGUAUACUCAGGCGCGCGAGUGAGUCGCUGUUAAGGAACUCGGCAAAUUGACCCCGUAACUUCGGGAUAAGGGGUGCCACGGCAGCGUGGCCGCAGAGAAAUGGCCCAGGCGACUGUUUAACAAAAACACAUCUCUCUGCUAACUCGUGAAGAGGAAGUAUAGGGAGGGACACCUGCCCGGUGCUGGAAGGUUAAAGGGAGGAGUCAGCCGCAAGGCGAAGCCCCGAACUGAAGCCCCAGUAAACGGCGGCCGUAACUAUAACGGUCCUAAGUAGCGAAAUUCCUUGUCGGGUAAGUUCCGACCUGCACGAAUGGUGUAACGAUCUGGGCACUGUCUCAACAGCGAGCUCGGUGAACUUGUGGUACCGGUGAAGACGCCGGUUACCCGCACUGGGACGGAAAGACCCCAUGCACCUUUACUGCAGCUUAUUAUUGGGUCUGAUUGCAUCAUGCGUAGGAUAGGUGGGAGACUGUGAAGCGGAGCUUGUGGGCUUCGUGGAGUCGCUGGUGAAAUACCACCCUUGAUGCAGUUGGAUUCUAACCUGGCAGAGUGGAUCUGCAGGGACAGUGGUAGGUGGGCAGUUUGACUGGGGCGGUCGCCUCCCAAAAAGUAACGGAGGCUUACAAAGGUCACCUCAGCACGGUCGGUAAUCGUGCGUAGAGUGCAAAGGCAUAAGGUGGCUUUACUGUGAGACCGACAGGUCGAGCAGUUGCGAAAGCAGGUCUUAGUGAUCCGGCGGUUCUGUGUGGAAGGGCCGUCGCUCAAAGGAUAAAAGGUACGCUGGGGAUAACAGGCUGAUCUUGCCCAAGAGUUCACAUCGACGGCAAGGUUUGGCACCUCGAUGUCGGCUCAUCGCAUCCUGGGGCCGGAGAAGGUCCCAAGGGAUUGGCUGUUCGCCAAUUAAAGCGGUACGUGAGCUGGGUUCAGAACGUCGUGAGACAGUUCGGUCCCUAUCCAGUGUGGGCGCAAGAUACUUGAGGGGACCCGCUCUUAGUACGAGAGGACCGAGCGCCCGGACCGACGGUGCAUCUGUUGUCAUGCCAAUGGCACAGCAGAGUAGCCAUGUCCGGAAAGGAUAAGUGCUGAAAGCAUCUCAAGCACGAAACCUACCCCAAGAUUAGGUAUCUCUUAAGGACCCAGGUAGACGACCUGGUUGAUAGGCUUCAGGUGUAAGCGUAGUAAUACGUUCAGCCGAGAAGUACUAGUAGUCCGUCGACUUACCUGA